UACAGAGGUCUCAAGCGUUGUUCGGAUUCAUUGGGCGUAAAGGGUGUGUAGGUGGCGCCGUAAGUCGGGUGUGAAAUUUCGGAGCUUAACUCCGAAACUGCAUUCGAUACUGCGGUGCUUGAGGACUGGAGAGGAGACUGGAAUUCAUGGUGUAGCAGUGAAAUGCGUAGAGAUCAUGAGGAAGACCAGUGGCGAAGGCGGAUCUCUGGACAGUUCCUGACGCUGAGGCGCGAAGGCCAGGGGAGCAAACGGG
This 253-nucleotide ribosomal RNA is filed under the name uncultured bacterium. RNAcentral's name for it is "partial 16S ribosomal RNA". It matches the Rfam family "Bacterial small subunit ribosomal RNA", at positions 524 to 776 of the family's 1533-position model. The record is from RNAcentral.